UUAAAGUUUAAUUUUAGCUUAGUCGUUUGGUGUUUGUUUUAUUUACAUGUGAAUUUGAAUAUGGGGGUAUUUUAAAUAGAAGCAUGGACAGUAAACAGAAUUAAGUAUAAAUGCAAGUUUGACUUAGAAAUUCAAAGAGUAUAAGUUAAUUUUGUGCCAGCAGCUGCGGUUAAACAAAUUAUACAGCUAUAUGUUAUUAGAGUCAAUUAAUCACUUUGAAGGGGGCGUAAUUUAGAAUAAUAUUUGGGGGUGAAAUAUAAAUAUUAUUUAAAUUAUAGACAAGGUUGAUGAAGUUGGGAAAGUUAUUGGGUAGACUAGGAUUAGAUACCCUAUUAUUGAGACUGUGAGUUUGAGUUUCUAAGUUAGUAGAAGUUACGGUCUGGAAAAUUAAAAAUUUUGGCGGUAUUUUAUUCUUUUCAGAGGAACCUGUUCAGUAAUUGAUAGUCCACGAUUAAUUGUACUUUUGUUUUGGUUUACAUAUCGUUGUAUAGAAUAUUUUUGUAGGAUUAAAAUAUUAGUGAUUUAAAUUAUAAAAUAAGUCAAAUCAAGAUGUAGCUUAUGUAAAAGUUGUAAUGGGUUACAAUAAUGUUAAUUAAAUGGGGGUAAGCUUGAAAAUUUUAUUUAAAGUGGAUUUGAAAGUAAUUUGAAAUAAUUUUUUUAGAUGAUUAGGUUUUAAAAUAUGUACAUAUUGCCCGUCGCUUUCAUUUUAAAGUGAAAUAAGUCGUAACAAAGUAGGUGUACUGGAAAGUGUACCUGGAAUGGG
RNAcentral lists this non-coding RNA (763 nucleotides) under Curculionoidea sp. 24 KM-2017. Lineage: Eukaryota; Metazoa; Arthropoda; Insecta; Coleoptera. The record is from RNAcentral.